GCCGAUUUAGAUGCACAAUUUAACGUGAGUGCUUCUUUUGCUGCAUUAUGUUAAUUUAAAUUUGGAAGUUUUAUAUUCCUAUGUAUGAACUGCCUAAUUGUAUUUAUGAGCAACAAAAGAGAAAUUGUAAUUUUUGUAUUGAAGUGGCUUUGUUUUGAUGACCCAUACUUGAUUCUUAGAUGUGUCUUAAAGUAGUUUGCAUUCUUCAGAGAGAUUCAUAUUUGAUUCUAUUUUCUCUUUACAAAAUAAUUAGAAGGUGUUUAUUUUUCUAGUUCUGAGUAUGGGUGGGGAUAGCCCAGCUGG
Molecule: unclassified non-coding RNA, 303 nt
Filed under: Hevea brasiliensis (rubber tree)
Lineage: Eukaryota; Viridiplantae; Streptophyta; Magnoliopsida; Malpighiales; Euphorbiaceae
Source: RNAcentral